Schistosoma mansoni is the source of this 45-nucleotide non-coding RNA. NCBI's taxonomy places the organism in Eukaryota, Metazoa, Platyhelminthes, Trematoda, Strigeidida, Schistosomatidae. The record is from Rfam.
CUUCAAUUGAUCAGUCCCAAAUAGGACGAGACGUGCUUCCUGGAU